CUGCUCAGCACCCACAGGGACAGGCCUGCACACUGUCAUGACCUGCUAAGAACUACACAAACAGCAGCAAACUCCUUGUUAUUAGGAGGGGGUUGGGUGGAGGGGAGCACUAGAUCAUGAUGGAUUAGUCCUAAUCAAGUAUAGAUUUUUGACCAUAGCCAAGUCUAGUUAUUCCCAGUCAUCAUUCUUGGGGCAGGAAACCCUGCACAUUUAAGUAUUUUCUAUUCCGAAAACACAUGAUUCUAUUUGAUUCUAGCAAAUUACUUGUCUCCAGAGCUCCAGGUCUUUUUUCCCUCUUUAAAUAACAUUCCCCUAUACAAAGGAAAUAUAUUUACACAUAUUUCUCAAAAUAUGUGUCAGGUUUGUGAAGUAUUUCCAUAUAUGUUUGAUAUAUAAAUUUAGGCAUCAAAAAUAACACUGUUGUGUAUAUUUCAUCUACAUGUAUGCACAUUUUUAAAUAUAUUGGGAAAUAUACAUAUUGACAUAUAUUUAGAUAUUUAAAAAUGGCAUAGUUACCUAUAUCUAGUACCAUUAUUUUACAAUAUACACUGUUAAUAGAGCAAAUACACUGAUAAGUCAAACAUUGGGGCCACCUGCUAAUAUGCUUCUGGUUCUUAAACAGAUCUGACCUGCUGAGGCAUGGACUCUACUAGACUUCUGAAAGUGCCCUGUGGUAUCCAACACUAAGACAUUAACAGCAGAUCCUUUAAGUCCUGUAAGUUGUGAGGUGGAGCCACCUCAUAUUGGACUUAUUGUCCCGGCACAUACCACAGAUGCUGGAUCAGAUUGAGAUCUUGGGAAUUUGGAGUCAAGGGCAACACCUUGAGCUCUGCUACAUGUUCCUCACACCGUUCGCAAACAGUGUAUAGUGUGGAAGGGGGCACUGUUCUGCUAAAAGAGGCCACUGUCACUGGGGAAUACCACUAAGGAGUGUACUUGAUCCACAACAAUAUUUAGGUAGGUGGCACGUGUCAAACUGAUGCCCACAUGAAAGGCUGGAUCCAGGGUUUCCCACCAAACCAUUGACCAAAGCAUCACACUCUCUUCGCUGUCUUCCCACAGUGCAUCCCGGAGUCAUCACAUCCCCAGGAGGGGUAUUUUUAUUGGAACAAAAAGUAACAGAUCCUGCCUUCCGCCCGAAGACUGCUGGGAUAGGCUCCAGCACCCCCCCCGCGACCCUGACGGAGAAGCGGAUUAGAAAAUGGGUGGAUGGAUGGAAAAAGAAUAAAUGUUACCAUUGCAAAUGGAGCUAACUCCUGCACUCAAAUCAGUACCACUUGCCUGUUCUUAAAACUAGAAUACUGAAAGUUAUUUGGGUGCAUGAAUGAGCUUACCAUGAAGUGCUGUUCUUGUGUAAGGCCCCCUGAAACAUCAUUACAUUUUUCGUGUGGGGGGGAUAGGGAUCACUCAUAAAUAUGAGACUGAUGAAGCUGAAGUGCAUUUCUUUAGAUGGUGAAAACUAGCAGCAGCAGUAAAAGAAUCUGCUUUGAAAACAUGAUCCUAAAUUUCUCCCACUUGCCAGAAUAGUGUGCAAUUACUUUGACAUGAUUGCCUUGUUGUUUUUGUUUUUUUAUGGUUUUCACAUAUUGAUCGGUUGUUUUGUGAAAAUUGCAGGGUACUGAGCCUGGAAGGAGGAGUAGAAUGGAUUAGAAAACUGCAGUGAAGGUUUCACAGAGAAAUGAAAGAAGGGAGCUGAGGCACUGAGAGUAAAAGAGAGAAGCAGGGGGCAAAGAGCCACACAGGCACAGUACUUAAGUUGUCAGCAUUGGGGAUAACUGGCAUUGCAGUGCUAACUGUGUGGGUUUAUGCUCACACACACACACACACACACACACACACACACACACACACACAGUUUCUUGCUCUCUGACUUUGUUUCUCUGAGGCCUAGUUGAGGCCGUGUCAGCAGCAGCUCUUAUCGGGGUGAGUUAUGGGCCUGUCUGCAGUAAUGGUCUGUCACACACUCUGCCUGCCAGCUGUCUGACUUGCUCUUCUCCUACUUGGUCAUACCACAUAAGCAGCUCUGCCACUGACCACUCACCAAGACACACAGAGAGAACAGAGAGAAAGUGUAGAAAGAGAGAACAGAGUUUGAGUUAGCAUGAUUAUGCAUUCUCAGGAAGUAUUUGUUCAUUAAUAACACAUUGUUUUACCUGUAUUUUUAUAUAGGCAAAUUUUCCCCAUCAGUUUGAACUCAUUUGGUGUUAAAAAUAACAGGGCACAGGGAUGUGUCUGUUUAAAGACAUGGCGUGUUAUUUUAACACUGUUUUAACGCAUUUGAUCUGAGAGUGUGCUUAUGGAUCAUUUUACAGAAUUAUUAAGUCAACAUUUUGGACUUUUAACUGAUUUGAACUUUAGACUUAAAUGCUUUUGCUUUGAUUGACCCAGUGCCUUAAUUAUGAUUAUUUUAUUAAAUUAAGUGAUUGAACAUUCCAUUUUGUCACUACCAAAACAAUCAUAACACCACUGAAACUUUACCAAAUAUUUCAACCGUGACUGUUUUGAAACUUUACCAAAUAUUUCAACAGUUUUGGUAGUGACAAUUAUAGCUAACUCAAAAACACUAGUCAGUACAUGACCAGCAACUAGAACUUUGAACAGCUGUUCACACAGAAAUAAUAAUAUUUUUAAUUAUAAAGUUGCUAUAUUACAUGCAGAUUUUCAGAUUUUGGGACACAUUUGCUUCAAAACUGUUGGAUUUAACUGUUCACAAUGUGGCUGUGAGGAACAGGGAUGCAGUCUCACUUCCUGCUCUAAAAUGCUGCGGUGUGGCUAAAAUAAUCUAAUAAAAUAUAAUAAACUCAUGAUAAAUCUAAAUCUUUCAAAUUUUAAUAUAUAUAUAUAUAUAUAUAUAUAUAUAUAUAUAUAUAUAUUUUUUUUUUUUUUUUUUCUUUUUUUUUUUUUUUUCACAAGUAAAUUUAGGAGUUAGGCUUUGGGACAGCCACCUCCCAAUAGAAAAUACCCUAUAAAUGUUGAUUUGUUGUAUAUUUAGCCUAUCUCAAUUAAUACAUUGGGUUUAAAUAGAUCAUAAUACAAUACUUGUACAUAUAUAUGAACUGAUUUUUUGUUGUUGUUUUGUAUUGUUUGGUUUGGUUUUAUUUAUUUAUUUAUUUAUAAAAUAUAAAACUCAAAAUUACC
Long non-coding RNA from Pygocentrus nattereri (red-bellied piranha), 3138 nucleotides. NCBI's taxonomy places the organism in Eukaryota, Metazoa, Chordata, Actinopteri, Characiformes, Serrasalmidae. The record is from Ensembl.